This 366-nucleotide long non-coding RNA is filed under the name Mytilus galloprovincialis (Mediterranean mussel). The record is from RNAcentral. Lineage: Eukaryota; Metazoa; Mollusca; Bivalvia; Mytilida; Mytilidae.
UGUUGCUCUACCUGUCAAGAACUCUUACUAUUGCUAACUUCUUCGUGGUCAUUUGUAAUCAAACAAUCAAGUAUAUCGGUUAAAAUAUAUAUCAAUACUUUCCUAUUUCGUCAUAGACUCCGCUGAGAUUUGAGCUCUUAAUUUUCCCAUGGAAGACUUGCUUGAAUGUUUCCAAAGGAAGAAUCGGCUGAUAUUUGCGCUCUUUAUUUUCACAUGAAAACCCUUCUUGUAGGUUUCAAUCACAGUAAUUUGCUUAUUAUUGUUAGAAUACUAUUAAGUAUUUCAUAACGGCAAAAGAUUGGGUUUUAUGUAGAUGCAUGUUUUCAUACAUUUUCUUUAUGUUAGCUUGCUAUGAAUAUAAGGAGG